RNAcentral lists this ribosomal RNA (200 nucleotides) under uncultured bacterium. Its description in RNAcentral is "partial 16S ribosomal RNA". It matches the Rfam family "Bacterial small subunit ribosomal RNA", at positions 524 to 723 of the family's 1533-position model. The record is from RNAcentral.
UACGUAGGGGGCGAGCGUUGUCCGGAUUUAUUGGGCGUAAAGGGCUCGUAGGCGGCCAACUAAGUCAGACGUGAAAUCCCUCGGCUUAACCGGGGAACUGCGUCUGAUACUGGAUGGCUUGAGUUUGGGAGAGGGAUGCGGAAUUCCAGGUGUAGCGGUGAAAUGCGUAGAUAUCUGGAGGAACACCGGUGGCGAAGGCG